RNAcentral lists this ribosomal RNA (497 nucleotides) under uncultured bacterium. RNAcentral's name for it is "partial 16S ribosomal RNA". It matches the Rfam family "Bacterial small subunit ribosomal RNA", at positions 28 to 507 of the family's 1533-position model. The record is from RNAcentral.
GAUGAACGCUGGCGGCGUGCCUAAUACAUGCAAGUCGAGCGAACAGACGAGGAGCUUGCUCCUCUGACGUUAGCGGCGGACGGGUGAGUAACACGUGGAUAACCUACCUAUAAGACUGGGAUAACUUCGGGAAACCGGAGCUAAUACCGGAUAAUAUAUUGAACCGCAUGGUUCAAUAGUGAAAGACGGUUUUGCUGUCACUUAUAGAUGGAUCCGCGCCGCAUUAGCUAGUUGGUAAGGUAACGGCUUAUCAAGGCGACGAUGCGUAGCCGACCUGAGAGGGUGAUCGGCCACACUGGAACUGAGACACGGUCCAGACUCCUACGGGAGGCAGCAGUAGGGAAUCUUCCGCAAUGGGCGAAAGCUUGACGGAGCAACGCCGCGUGAGUGAUGAAGGUCUUCGGAUCGUAAAACUCUGUUAUUAGGGAAGAACAAAUGUGUAAGUAACUAUGCACGUCUUGACGGUACCUAAUCAGAAAGCCACGGCUAACUACGUG